UUAUUAAGGAGUAAUGAUUUAUUUUAUAAAAGGAUCCACAAUAGGAUUUUUAAAGAAAAAAGCCAUCUCUCUUGUACAUUUAAAAAGACUCAAUUUACAACAUCUGUUGCAGAAAGUAGAGCAUCCAUUGUAGCGUGUAAGGCACUUCCUUUCUUCAUCUCUAAUUGGGAAUGGGCAGCAAGACAAUCUGCAGGGAGAGCUUCUGCCUCUAGUUUCAAAGUUUUCCAGUAGCCCUUCAGUGAACCCUCCAACCAGGUAUCUAAAGUGUUCAUUUUCCUUUCUCAUUGGAGGAUAUUAGAUAAAAUAAAUGAAGAACUUUAAAUAAGAGAAAAACACAGAGGACUCCCCAAACAGAAUUUAAAAAUAUUUAGCUGCCAAGGUCCUGGAUGAUCCAUUGUUCCUAGGUCUGGAAAUUCUUGCCCAUUAAGUUGCACCUUGCCUCUGGGAAAUAAAUCAUUUUUCCCUCAGGGAGGUCUCAAGCUCCCAUGUCAUCCCUUCAUUUCUCAAGCACAGCAGCCUGACCCCAAAUUUAAUCCACCAGAAUUUCUUCUCAUAACACAUCAUUGCUGUAUUCUCUGUUCACAUGGUGGAAUCACCUUUGACUUUUUUUCUUCUAUCUCCAUUGUCAGUCUGCAGAUCUUACCAUUUCCUCCUUUAAAAACUAAUUUUUUUUUUUUUUUAAACCCAUCUUCAUUUUCUCUGCCUUGCCUUAGUUCUGGAUUAUUGCUAUGGCCUAAUGGCCGAAUCUCUUUCCUUGUGAAAUGCAAAGAAUCGAGGAAUAUUUCCAACACCACUCAUACCAGCUCCAUUCACUCCCAGGUCUAGUCAGAUCAAGUUUUAACUACUCUUUUAAAAACUUUGCUCAAUAUAGCCCCAAAUCACCCUAAAAAAGCUAAGGAGUCCCCUAUGGGAACCAAUGUUCCAAACGGGCUGAUCACACUUACCAUGUUGUACCCACAAGUCAUUUAUUUAUCCCUGACUCCUAGGCAAGAAGAGAGAGGAGAUAUUGCCUAUUGGUGGGGGUUGUAAUAUCCAUCAUGUCUGCAGUGUAAUCUGUUCUCUGAACCACUCGGAGGAUAUGGCCAGUAGGAAAAACUAUUCUAAUCUGUCUAGCUCUUGGGCCUCAGGCUGUAAGGAACAAUAAAAGCCACCCCCAAUUAACCUCAUUCCCUCAAUUGUCAUUCAGGAAAUUGAGCCCCCACAGUAGCAGUCUGUAUGUACCUCAAUCACUGCGUCCAUGAUCAUCAUACUCCAUACAUUACAGUGACUGAUACGCUGAAAAUAAAGACCUGUGGAGGAAAAGAAGCCAGGUCGGGAGCCCAGCCCACAACAGACAGACAGGCCUCCAUUUGUUACCAGAAUGACAGCUCUUUGGGGUCAGCGACCAUGUUCUCUGAUAGGAAUGGGGACAGGAAGGCACUCGGGGAAUGCUGCAAUGGCUUAACUAACACAAGAGCAAGUUGAGAAGCAUUUACUAAUGGAUGAUCCUCAGAUCUAGCCUGGACUGUACAGACCAGCAGCCACAUCUCGGGGGUUGGGUAUCUCUGGUAAUGUCUCAGUCCAAUCUCAAUCAAAUGUGAACAUGUCCUAGCCCCACAGCCCCAAACUGCAAGAGCCUAAGGAGCCUCCAGGAGGGGAGGUGUGACAGGCCCCACGAAGCCCAGCAUCCAGGUCCGGCCCUCUGCAGCGGGCCUCUUCCUAGGAAGGAAAUACAGCAGACUAGGGAGAAAUUGGGCCCUAGAUGUAGCUGAUCUUGGGACAGGACCUGUCCUUUAUGACCUCAAAGAUCAAAGGUCGGGGCAUGGUGCCCAGGAAAUGGCCCUGCCCCAACCUUGCCUGCUCUCUGCUCCUAACUUCCCUUCUGGGACCCUGGGAGGCUCUUCCAACUUUCAUCUUUCUUCCUUUUAAGUCCUUAUAUAGCAACUCCGGCAGUAGGGUAGGUGGGUCUGGGCAAGAUAUACUUCUGUUGUGCUGGGGGCUGGGCCACGUCUGAUCAUUCUGCUACCCCUGAUCUUCUCAUGCCCUGGUUGGUAAGGAUUAGAAAGGGCUGAGAUCAUGGGGACAGAAAUACUGCAAUGAGGGAGAUCCUCACAGAGAAAGGGCCCUAAGCUCAGCCAGCUGCGAUGAAUUCCUAUUUCUGCUCUGAGUAGGGUAAGUAUGGAACCCACCCCAGGACCAUAAUUCUUCCCUCCCUACUCAGGGAAAGGUGGGGAGCCUAGAAAAGCCUAUUCCAAGUACUUUUCAAGCCUUUCCCGAUCCCAAAAAUAAGCUGGAGCCUUGGGUCAAGCAGAGAGACCUGGAUGUAAAGUAAAAUCAAGUUACCUGAGCAUAAUCUAUAUCCCAAAUCCCUUCCCAAUGGGCCUCAAAUUUAAUCCCUGGACCCAAGGAGCCAGUCCUCAUCAAGAUUUAAGUUUUCUCAUGUUUUCUUUGGAAAGGAAGGGAGGGAGCCAGCCUAGUCCGGCUGGUGCAUUGGGAAAGGUAGAAAAACAAACAUAGGAAUCCAAAUUGGGAAACCCUAAAGCCAGAGUUGCCAUAGCAACGAGGAUGCGCGCUCACAGCUGCCAUGCACAGUCUCUCCUUAUUAGGCAUGGAGACCACACAAGAGCCCUGGACCUUCAUUUCUCCCCAGCCUCAGAUAGGACCUCUCUUAUCUGGUCAUCAAAGGUCCCAGGACUGCCUGAAAAUCAUCUGAUGGAUGGAAGAAAUGACAUCAGCUGAAGUCAGGAAGAAAGGUACGAGUUCUUAUAAAGUCUAUGAUCCAGCUCUCCCCUCCAAUCCCUUCCUUGAUCAGAAUACUCAAGACAUCCCUCAUUUGUGACAUCAUUGGUCUUCCGUAACAGAAGGACCACCACAUCAAGCCAAACACUGGCCACAAAAACGCCAGCAUGAAAGAAAGAUGCGUCUGUCCCACAUGAUGACCCCUCUGCUUAUCGCUGGGGCUCAGCUCUGUGGCUUCACAAUUAAAGCUGUAAAUGGAGCUAUCAUCCCUCUUCUGAAUUCCUUGGAGACUCUCAGGAGGACCAAACAUGAUAGC
RNAcentral lists this long non-coding RNA (3034 nucleotides) under Sarcophilus harrisii (Tasmanian devil). RNAcentral describes it as "lncRNA (ENSSHAG00000030652.1)". Lineage: Eukaryota; Metazoa; Chordata; Mammalia; Dasyuromorphia; Dasyuridae. The record is from RNAcentral.